UACGGAGGGUGCAAACGUUGCUCGGAAUCAUUGGGCGUAAAGCGCACGUAGGCGGUCCACUAAGUCGGUGGUGAAAUCCUGGAGCUCAACUCCAGAACUGCCUUCGAUACUGAGAGUCUCGAGUCCGGGAGAGGUGAGUGGAACUGCGAGUGUAGAGGUGAAAUUCGUAGAUAUUCGCAAGAACACCAGUGGCGAAGGCGGCUCACUGGCCCGGUACUGACGCUGAGGUGCGAAAGCGUGGGGAGCAAACAGG
RNAcentral lists this ribosomal RNA (253 nucleotides) under uncultured bacterium. RNAcentral describes it as "partial 16S ribosomal RNA". It matches the Rfam family "Bacterial small subunit ribosomal RNA", at positions 524 to 776 of the family's 1533-position model. The record is from RNAcentral.